UGCAAUGCGUCUGAGCUCCUU
This 21-nucleotide microRNA is filed under the name Ornithorhynchus anatinus (platypus). RNAcentral describes it as "oan-miR-1421ab-3p". The record is from miRBase by way of RNAcentral. Lineage: Eukaryota; Metazoa; Chordata; Mammalia; Monotremata; Ornithorhynchidae.